AAGGGGAGCAAUCCCUGAGUAAAGUGGCGACCGGGUGAGUAACACGUGACUAACCUACCUUCGAGUGGGGGAUAACCUCGGGAAACCGGGGCUAAUACCGCAUAACAUCUUUGGAGUGGAAACUCCGGAGACCAAAGGAGCAAUUCGCUUGAAGAGGGGGUCGCGGCUGAUUAGCUAGUUGGCGGGGUAAUGGCCCACCAAGGCUUUGAUCGGUAGCCGGCCUGAGAGGGCGCACGGCCACACUGGAACUGAAACACGGUCCAGACUCCUACGGGAGGCAGCAGUGGGGAAUUUUGCGCAAUGGGGGAAACCCUGACGCAGCAACGCCGCGUGGAGGAUGAAGUCCCUUGGGACGUAAACUCCUUUCGACCGAGACGAUAAUGACGGUACCGGUGGAAGAAGCCCCGGCUAACUACGUGCCAGCAGCCGCGGUAAUACGUAGGCAGCGAGCGUUGUUCGGAAUUACUGGGCGUAAAGAGUGCGUAGGCGGUGCUCUAAGUCUGGUGUGAAAUCUCCCGGCUCAACUGGGAGGGUGCGCCGGANACUGGAGUGCUCGAGUAUGGGAGAGGUAAGCGGAAUUCCUGGUGUAGCGGUGAAAUGCGUAGAUAUCAGGAGGAACACCUGUGGUGUAGGCAGCUUACUGGACCAUGACUGACGCUGAGGCACGAAAGCGUGGGUAGCAAACAGGAUUAGAUACCCUGGUAGUCCACGCCCUAAACGAUGCAUACUUGGUGUGAGCCAUUCAUUUGGUUCGUGCCGG
Molecule: ribosomal RNA, 760 nt
Filed under: uncultured bacterium
Lineage: Bacteria
Description: bacterial SSU rRNA
Rfam family: Bacterial small subunit ribosomal RNA
Source: RNAcentral